This 96-nucleotide transfer RNA is filed under the name Trametes coccinea BRFM310. Its description in RNAcentral is "Trametes coccinea (strain BRFM310) tRNA". It matches the Rfam family "tRNA". Rfam says of the family: Transfer RNA (tRNA) molecules are approximately 80 nucleotides in length. Their secondary structure includes four short double-helical elements and three loops (D, anti-codon, and T loops). Lineage: Eukaryota; Fungi; Basidiomycota; Agaricomycetes; Polyporales; Polyporaceae. The record is from Rfam by way of RNAcentral.
GGCGGAAUGGCCGAGCGGUCUAAGGCGCUAGAAUCAGGAGCUGGCAGCAGUCCCAUCUAGUCCGAAAGGGCGUGGGUUCGAAUCCCACUUCCGUCA